CACGUAGUUAGCCGGUGCUUAUUCAUAAGUUACCGUCAUAUUCUUCACUUAUAAAAGCAGUUUACGACCCGAGGGCCUUCAUCCUGCACGCGGCGUUGCUCCAUCAGACUUUCGUCCAUUGUGGAAGAUUCCUCACUGCUGCCUCCCGUAGGAGUCUGGACCGUGUCUCAGUUCCAGUCUGGCUGGUCAUCCUCUCAGACCAGCUAACGAUCGUAGGCUUGGUAAGCCAUUACCUCACCAACUACCUAAUCGUACGCAGGCCACUCCCAAAGCGGAUAAAUCCUUUAAUCCGAAGAUCAUAUGCGGCAUUAGACUCCAUUUCUGGAGCUUAUUCCUCACUUUGGGGCAUGUUCCCACGCGUUACUCAGCCGUCCGCCGCUCGUCAUCAUUUCUCACUUCAGCACCAACUUAAAACGUUAGUACCAAGGUGAGAAACAUGUUACCGCUCGACUUGCAUGUGUUAAGCACGCCGCCAGCAUUCA
This 482-nucleotide ribosomal RNA is filed under the name uncultured bacterium. RNAcentral describes it as "partial 16S ribosomal RNA". The record is from RNAcentral.